GCGAGCAAAAUCCGGCAGCUGCACCCGAUCCCUGAACCAGGUGCAGAUCUGAAAAAAUCCGGAUCAGCGACUUCACACCCGCGCACAGGAGCACGAGCUCCUCGUGCAUAUCAGCAGCGCACAGACCAUCUAUGGCGUGAGAC
This is a long non-coding RNA of Thalassophryne amazonica, 143 nucleotides long. RefSeq lists it as uncharacterized. Lineage: Eukaryota; Metazoa; Chordata; Actinopteri; Batrachoidiformes; Batrachoididae. The record is from RefSeq and is a predicted model, not a curated record. The transcript is spliced from 3 exons.